This 162-nucleotide ribosomal RNA is filed under the name uncultured bacterium. RNAcentral's name for it is "partial 16S rRNA". It matches the Rfam family "Bacterial small subunit ribosomal RNA", at positions 355 to 511 of the family's 1533-position model. The record is from RNAcentral.
UAGGGAAUCUUCCACAAUGGGCGAAGCCUGAUGGAGCAACGCCGCGUGUGUGAUGAAGGCUUUCGGGUCGUAAAGCACUGUUGUAUGGGAAGAACAGCUAGAAUAGGAAAUGAUUUUAGUUUGACGGUACCAUACCAGAAGGGACGGCUAAAUACGUGCCAG